UAGGAGAGGAGGUGCUACUCUGAUUGAUAUUUUAAGGCUGUAUAUAAAAUGGAAAAAUUCUUCUCACUCUCUGCUUGUCGUUCUGGGCUGCAUUUGUAUCUGGGGGCUCGAUGCUUCCUUGCUGUUGUAUUUGCACAUACUGGGAAUAAAGACAAACUGAAACAAUGCCAGAACCCACUAAAACAGCUGAUAUACCAGUAAAAGAAAGUGCACCUCCUCCAGUAGAAACUAACGCUCAGAAAGAUGAGAAACCCAAGAAAAAGGUGAGUACAAGUAUUCUUCAAAAGCUAGACAAGACCUCUCUCUCUCUCUCUCUCUCUCUCUCUGGUUAUCUAUCUAUCUAUCUAUCUAUCUAUCUAUCUAUCUAUCUAUCUAUCUAUCGAUCAUAAGUUUGUUAAAACAGCAGAAUAUUGCACAGGUCUCAUUAGGAAUCUAAAGAAGUGAUUAGAAGUUUAAAUUUGUUCUACCACACAUUAAUAUUUUUUGUGUGUUGUUGAGUUUCUGAGAAUCUCUCUCUCUCUAAGGAUUUAGUUCCUAGUACAGUAUUCUGUAUUGUCUUGGAAACUGAAAGAUCAAAGUUUCUCAGAAUUUGCUUCUUGUUAA
This 603-nucleotide long non-coding RNA is filed under the name Naja naja (Indian cobra). Its description in RNAcentral is "lncRNA (ENSNNAG00000016532.1)". Lineage: Eukaryota; Metazoa; Chordata; Lepidosauria; Squamata; Elapidae. The record is from RNAcentral.